Long non-coding RNA from Lucilia cuprina (Australian sheep blowfly), 382 nucleotides. RefSeq lists it as uncharacterized. NCBI's taxonomy places the organism in Eukaryota, Metazoa, Arthropoda, Insecta, Diptera, Calliphoridae. The record is from RefSeq and is a predicted model, not a curated record. The transcript has 2 exons.
GUUAUUAUUUUAAACGAAUAACAAAAAUAGCUUUAUAUUGAAACAUAUAAAACGCAAUUACUUAUAUCCAAUAUAAAAUAGUAUUCUAAUAGAUUCUAAAGCAAAAGGACAAAAUAACUGAUCUUUUUUGCAAAACAAAAAUGAAAUUCCUGGAAUUAUUUUUCAUUAUUGGUUGCAUUGUUGCCGGUGUAAUGUCAGCUCCUGGGCAUAAUAUUAUAAGUGGCAAUAAUAACAAUAAUAAUCACCAAUCAAGUAUGGAUUUAGGUUUAGAUUUAAAAUUACCAAAUGUAUUAUAAAUAUGUCUUUAGACUAAAAUUAAACGAUAUUUUAAAUUAAUAUAAUAAACUUAACUUGAAUAUUAAAUACUUAUUUUUAUAUAAGA